RNAcentral lists this ribosomal RNA (434 nucleotides) under uncultured Clostridium sp. RNAcentral describes it as "partial 16S ribosomal RNA". It matches the Rfam family "Bacterial small subunit ribosomal RNA", at positions 341 to 792 of the family's 1533-position model. Lineage: Bacteria; Bacillati; Bacillota; Clostridia; Eubacteriales; Clostridiaceae. The record is from RNAcentral.
ACGGGAGGCAGCAGUGGGGAAUAUUGCACAAUGGGCGCAAGCCUGAUGCAGCGACGCCGCGUGAGUGAAGAAGUAUUUCGGUAUGUAAAGCUCUAUCAGCAGGAAAGAAAAUGACGGUACCUGACUAAGAAGCCCCGGCUAACUACGUGCCAGCAGCCGCGGUAAUACGUAGGGGGCAAGCGUUAUCCGGAUUUACUGGGUGUAAAGGGAGCGUAGACGGUUUUGCAAGUCUGAAGUGAAAUGCCGGGGCUCAACCCCGGAACUGCUUUGGAAACUGUAGAACUAGAGUGCAGGAGAGGUAAGUGGAAUUCCUAGUGUAGCGGUGAAAUGCGUAGAUAUUAGGAGGAACACCAGUGGCGAAGGCGGCCUGCUGGACGACAACUGACGCUGAGGCGCGAAAGCGUGGGGAGCAAACAGGAUUAGAUACCCUGGUA